This 253-nucleotide ribosomal RNA is filed under the name uncultured bacterium. Its description in RNAcentral is "partial 16S ribosomal RNA". It matches the Rfam family "Bacterial small subunit ribosomal RNA", at positions 524 to 776 of the family's 1533-position model. The record is from RNAcentral.
UACAGAGGUCCCAAGCGUUGUUCGGAUUCACUGGGCGUAAAGGGUGCGUAGGCGGUCGGGUAAGUCUGAUGUGAAAUCUCACAGCUUAACUGUGAAACUGCAUUGGAUACUAUUCGGCUAGAGAGUUGGAGGGGGGACUGGAAUUCUUGGUGUAGCAGUGAAAUGCGUAGAUAUCAAGAGGAACACCAGUGGCGAAGGCGAGUCCCUGGACAGCUUCUGGCGCUGAGGCACGAAAGCUAGGGGAGCAAACAGG